Molecule: ribosomal RNA, 468 nt
Filed under: uncultured bacterium
Lineage: Bacteria
Description: partial 16S ribosomal RNA
Rfam family: Bacterial small subunit ribosomal RNA
Source: RNAcentral
GACGAACGCUGGCGGCGUGCUUAACACAUGCAAGUCGAACGGAAAGGCCCUGCUUUUGUGGGGUGCUCGAGUGGCGAACGGGUGAGUAACACGUGAGUAACCUGCCCUUGACUUUGGGAUAACUUCAGGAAACUGGGGCUAAUACCGGAUAGGAGCUCCUGCUGCAUGGUGGGGGUUGGAAAGUUUCGGCGGUUGGGGAUGGACUCGCGGCUUAUCAGCUUGUUGGUGGGGUAGUGGCUUACCAAGGCUUUGACGGGUAGCCGGCCUGAGAGGGUGACCGGCCACAUUGGGACUGAGAUACGGCCCAGACUACUACGGGAGGCAGCAGUGGGGAAGAUUGCACAAUGGGCGGAAGCCUGAUGCAGCAACGCCGCGUGCGGGAUGACGGCCUUCGCGUUGUAAACCGCUUUCGCCUGUGACGAAGCGUGAGUGACGGUAAUGGGUAAAGAAGCACCGGCUAACUACGUG